This 65-nucleotide transfer RNA is filed under the name Erthesina fullo. RNAcentral's name for it is "tRNA-Arg". Lineage: Eukaryota; Metazoa; Arthropoda; Insecta; Hemiptera; Pentatomidae. The record is from RNAcentral.
AGAUAAUGAAGUAAAUAUACAUUUAGUUUCGACCUAAAUUUAGGAAUUAAUAUUUCCCUUAUCUA